AUGCAGGUGCAGCAGCACAGGACGGGGAGGAGAAGGAGCAGGGAGAUCUGGCGGCGGCAGGCGAAGGCGGCGCCAGCCGAGGCCACCUGCAAGCCGGCGGCCAGGUCACCCUCGCCGGCGUUCACGACGAGGCCGCCGACGCCGAGGCCCGCGCCGGAGUGGCGCGACCCGCAGGUCACCACCGUCAUGAUCCGGAACAUCCCCAACAGGCUCAAGCCGGCCGAGAUGAUGCAGUUGCUGGACGACCACUGCGCCCGCGAGAACAGGAAGGAGAAGGCCGGCGACGUGCCCGCCGCCUACGAUUUCCUCUACCUGCCGAUGGAUUUCAGCUUGUGCAGCAACCUGGGGUACGCGUUCGUGAACCUCACGUCGGCCCAGGCGGCGCGGGGGCUCCACUCCGCCCUGCACGGCGCCCGCUGGACGGUGUUCGGCACCAACAAGGGCAUCGACAUCUGCGCCGCGCGUAUCCAGGGCAAGAGGGCGCUGGUGAAGCACUUCAGCAACUCCACCUUCCCGUGCGCCACCGACGACUUCCUCCCCGCCGUCUUCUCGCCGCCGCGCGACGGCGCCGCCGACCCGUCCGUCACCGGCGAGGCCACGCGCGUCGGCACCCGCGUCACUCCCGCCACUCCUCUGCCGGCUACGCCACGGGCGCAGCGGCUGGCAGGCCAGCCCGUGGCCCGUGGGCGUCGCCAGCGCGGGGUCGUGAAGCGGAGCGGUGCAACAAGCUGCGUGUGA
RNAcentral lists this ribosomal RNA (738 nucleotides) under Triticum aestivum (bread wheat). RNAcentral describes it as "partial small subunit ribosomal RNA". The record is from RNAcentral. Lineage: Eukaryota; Viridiplantae; Streptophyta; Magnoliopsida; Poales; Poaceae.